RNAcentral lists this non-coding RNA (160 nucleotides) under unclassified sequences. RNAcentral describes it as "FuFi-1 RNA". It matches the Rfam family "FuFi-1 RNA". The record is from Rfam by way of RNAcentral.
GUAAUCAGCGAUUAGGCAAUUUGCAGAACCGUCACUGCUAAAGUGAUUACGCUUCUGAAGAAAUACGCGGAGCGUUUGUGUAUGAUGAAAAUCUGCAAGAGGUAUUGAGUAAACAAAUACGGACAAAGGCUGAAUGAAAACGCUCUUCAUUCGGUUUUUU